UCUCAAGGAGUCAGACACGACUGAGCGACUUUCACUUCACUCACAAAGAGGGCAAGGGGACCAAGGUAGGCAGCUUCCAAAAGAGCUCCCAAUGGUCUCUGCCUCUUGGUAUUCGAACCCAGGAGUAAUCCCCUCCCCUUACAGCCUCACAUUCAUCAAAUGGACUGUAGCAAAAUUGUGGAAUGUCACUUCUAAGAGUAGGGAACAAAUACCUGAUCCUGGGCUAACUUGAAUGAAUGACUGAAAGAGGCUGAAAAGUCUUCAUGGGUAGCAGGAAACGUGGAGUCCCUGAGAUUGAGAAGAGACCUCCACUCACCGCAAAAAGAUUCCCUGAGCAUUCGGUGAGCGCUCAGCCCCCAGCAAGUCUCGGGACUCUCCCCAGGCAGGCAGCCCAGCCCCAGCCUGCAGGGACACAGUCAGGUGGCAGCCUUCUCACUCACGAGAGAGUCCUCCCACACCGACACAGCAGCCUCUCCAGCCCUGUGGGACAGAGGGAGCCAACACAGAAACAGACGUGGCCUCCGCUCCUGUGAAUUUCUCAGUCUGCGGAGGGUUGGUACUCAUAGAUGUAGACAUAGCAUGUGCAUGCUGAUUCAUGCUAGAGUGGAGAGGAACACAGUGGGAUGAGGAAUCUCUUUGAGAAAGGGGCGGUUAAGUCCGGUCCUGAUGAGGGUAGGGAGGAAGGGUGUUCUGAGCAGCACAAUGGAGGUUCCAGGGUGGAAUGCAGUGGAAACAGUGAUGAGGACGUGGGAUGAGGAUGGACAGGUGGGCAGGGACAUGCAAGGAAGUUUGCUCUUAACCAGGAGGAGCAGGAGAACCACUAACAGGUGCUGAGAAGGAAAGGAUGUGAUGCAGUUACGGGUUAUGCGGCUCAGUCUGGCUGCUAGGGGACAGAGGCGUCAUGACCAGAGGGUGGUGAGGAGUAAGAGGUUGUAAGUAAUGACUUGACUGUGGGGGCAGCGCUGGGGAUGAAGAAAAGUCACCAAACGGAAAGCACAUCUGAAGUCAGAGCUCCUGGUUUGUGAUGGAUCAGAAAGAGGAAGGGAGGAAUAGGGUUUUGAAGACUAUACCCAAACUCUACUUCCAGGAAGAAUUUCUUCAACAGGUCAUUUCAUUGCCACAGAGAAGUACAGAUAUUCUGUACAACACACAGAACUUCCUAGUAAGAGGAUGCUGUGUCCUUCUUGAUUCAGGGCUGAAGGCAGUAUUUCCUCCCCUCCUGUCCAGUUUUGACUAUUCCUGUAUCAUUCAACUGUGUGUUCAUUCUUUAAGCAACACAUGUACCUAGUUUCUAUAUUUUCUAUAUGGGCCGAACUGUGAAAUACACAGAAAAAAUGAGAUAGCAAUCCCUAGGAGGUAUAUCAGGGCUUACAGGGUGGAUCUGCAGUAAAAAAUCUGCCUGCAAUGCAGUAGAUGCAGGAGAAGUGGGUUCCAUCUGUGGGU
This is a non-coding RNA of Odocoileus virginianus texanus, 1443 nucleotides long. NCBI's taxonomy places the organism in Eukaryota, Metazoa, Chordata, Mammalia, Artiodactyla, Cervidae. The record is from RefSeq and is a predicted model, not a curated record.